This 367-nucleotide ribosomal RNA is filed under the name bacterium XBD1003. Its description in RNAcentral is "bacterial SSU rRNA". It matches the Rfam family "Bacterial small subunit ribosomal RNA", at positions 28 to 391 of the family's 1533-position model. The record is from RNAcentral.
GAUGAACGCUAGCGGCAGGCUUAACACAUGCAAGUCGAGGGGCAGCGCGGAGUAGCAAUACUCUGGCGGCGACCGGCGGAAGGGUGCGUAACACGUGAGCAACUUGCCCGUGACAGGGGGAUAAGCGAUGGAAACGUCGUCUAACAUCCCGUAACACGAGGGGAGGCAUCUCCCUUCGUUGAAAACUCCGGUGGUCACGGAUGGGCUCGCGGGACAUUAGCUAGUUGGCGGGGCAACGGCCCACCAAGGCGACGAUGUCUAGGGGUUCUGAGAGGAAGAUCCCCCACACUGGAACUGAGACACGGUCCAGACUCCUACGGGAGGCAGCAGUGAGGAAUAUUGGACAAUGGAGGCAACUCUGAUCCAG